GACGGCCCCAGCGAUCGGGACGCGCCGCCUGUCACCGUACUAGGUGGGGUAACGGCCCACCUAUCCUACGACGGGGACGGACCCUGACAGGGGGAGCCCGGAGAUGGGCACUGAGACAAGGGUCUAGGCCCUAAGGGGCGCAGCAGGCGCGAAGAUUCCGCAAUGCCCGAAAGGGCGACGGAGUGAACCCGAGUGCCACCCGCUGAGGGUGGCUGUUCCCCUGUGUAAAAAGCAGGGGGCAGGAAGGGGAGGGCAAGGCUGGUGGCAGCCGCCGCGGUAAAACCAGCUCCCCGAGGGGUUCCCACGCAUACUGGGCCUAAAGCGUCCGUAGCCGGCCCUGUAAGUCUGCAGUUAAAUCCGCCUGUAGACAGGCGGGUUGCUGCAGAUACUGCAGGGCUAGGGAGCGGGAGGAGCCGGGGGUAUUCCCGGGGGAGCGGUAAAAUGCGUAGAUCCCGGGAGGACCACCAGUGGCGAAGGCGCCCGGCUUGAACGCGUCCGACGGUGAGGGACGAAAGCUGGGGGAGCAAACCGGAUUAGAUACCCGGGUAGUCCCAGCCGUAAACGAUGCCGGCUAGGUGCUGGCCAAGGUUUCGGCCUUGGCCAGUGUCGAAGCGAAGGCAUUAAGCCGGCCGCCUGAGGAGUACGGCCGCAAGGCUGAAACUUGAAGGAAUUGACGGGGGGGCACCACAAGGGGUGAAUGCCUGCGGCUUAAUUGGACUCAACGCCGGGAAUCUUACCGGGGGCGACAGCAGGAUGAAGGUCAGGCUGAAGACCUUACCAGACGCGCUGAGGGGUGGUGCAUGGCCGUCGCCAGCUCGUGCCGUGAGGUGUCCUGUUAAGUCAGGCAACGAGCGAGACCCCCGCCCCUAGUUGCCAGCGGCCUCCUUGGGGAGGGACCGGGCAAAAUAGGGGGUCCGCCUCCGAAGAGGAGGAGGAAGGUGGGGGCUACGGCAGGUCAGUAUGCCCCUAAUCCCCGGGGCCGCACGCGGGCUGCAAUGGGCCGGACAGCGGGAUC
This 1015-nucleotide ribosomal RNA is filed under the name uncultured korarchaeote. RNAcentral's name for it is "bacterial SSU rRNA". It matches the Rfam family "Archaeal small subunit ribosomal RNA", at positions 187 to 1205 of the family's 1478-position model. The record is from RNAcentral. Lineage: Archaea; Thermoproteati; Thermoproteota.